Molecule: ribosomal RNA, 498 nt
Filed under: uncultured bacterium
Lineage: Bacteria
Description: partial 16S ribosomal RNA
Rfam family: Bacterial small subunit ribosomal RNA
Source: RNAcentral
AUUGAACGCUGGCGGCAUGCCUUACGCAUGCAAGUCGAACGGUAACAGGUCUUCGGAUGCUGACGAGUGGCGAACGGGUGAGUAAUACAUCGGAACGUGCCUAGUAGUGGGGGGUAACUACUCGAAAGAGUGGCUAAUACCGCAUGAGAUCUAUGGAUGAAAGCAGGGGAUCGCAAGACCUUGUGCUACUAGAGCGGCCGAUGGCAGAUUAGGUAGUUGGUGGGAUAAAAGCUUACCAAGCCGACGAUCUGUAGCUGGUCUGAGAGGACGAUCAGCCACACUGGGACUGAGACACGGCCCAGACUCCUACGGGAGGCAGCAGUGGGGAAUUUUGGACAAUGGGCGAAAGCCUGAUCCAGCAAUGCCGCGUGCAGGAUGAAGGCCUUCGGGUUGUAAACUGCUUUUGUACGGAACGAAAAGCCCCGGGUUAAUACCCUGGGGUCAUGACGGUACCGUAAGAAUAAGCACCGGCUAACUACGUGCCAGCCGCCGCAGUAA